UAGUCAUAUGCUUGUCUCAAAGAUUAAGCCAUGCAGGUCUAAGUACGUGCCGAAAUAAGGUGAGACUGCGAACGGCUCAUUACAUCAGUUAUGGUUCCUUAGAUCUCCGACGUUUUACUUGGAUAACCCUGUUAAAUCAGAGCUAAUACAUGCCUAGAAGCCCCGACCCUUAGGUGGGAAGGGGCGUUUUUAUUAGAUCAAAACCAGACGGGGACUCGUGCCCCGGAACUCUCUGGUGACUCUGGAUAACUUUGGACGGAUCGCACGGUCCUGGCACCGGCGACGUAUCUUUCAAAUGUCUGCCUUAUCAACUUGAUGGUAGGUUAUGCGCCUACCAUGGUGAUAACGGGUGACGGAGAAUCAUGGUUCGACGCCGGAGAGGGAGCCUGAGAAACGGCUACCACCAUCCAGGAAGGCAGCGAGGCACGCAAAUUACCCACUCCCGACACCGGGGAGGGUAGUGACGAAAAAUAACGAUACGGGACUCAUCCGAGGCCCCGUAAUUGGAAUGAGUACACUUUAAAUCCUUUAACGAGGAUCUAUUGGAGGGCAAGUCUGGUGCCAGCAGCCGCGGUAAUUCCAGCUCCAAUAGCGUAUAUUAAAGUUGCUGCGGUUAAAAAGCUCGUAGUUGGAUCUCAGUCGCGGUCGGGCGGUCCGCCGCAGGGCGGCACUGCUCGAACCGGACAAUCGGCCGGUUGCUCCCGGGAUGCUCUUCGCCGGGUGUCCCGGGUGACCGGAACGUUUACUUUGAAAAAAUUAGAGUGCUCAAAGCAGGCCGGUCGCCUGAAUAGUCGUGCAUGGAAUAAUGGAAUAGGACCUCGGUUCUAUUUUGUUGGUUCCGGAACCCGAGGUAAUGAUUGAUAGGGACAGACGGGGGCAUUCGUAUUGCGACGCUAGAGGUGAAAAUUCUUAGACCGUCGCAAGACGAACUACUGCGAAAGCAUUUGCCAAGAAUGUUUUCAUUAAUCAAGAACGAAAAGUUAGAGGUUCCAAGGCGAUCAGAUACCGCCCUAGUUCUAACCCAUAAACGAUGCCAACUGGCGAUCCCGCCGACGUUAUUCACAUGACCCGGCGGGCAGCUUCCGGGAAACCAAAGUUUCUCGGUUCCGGGGGAAGUAUGGUUGCAAGGCCGAAACUUAAAGGAAUUGACGGAAGGGCACCACCAGGAGUGGAGCCUGUGGCCCAAUUCGACUCAACGCGGGGAACCUCACCAGGCCCGGACACUAGAAGGAUUGACAGAUUGAGAGCUCUUUCUUGAUUUGGUGGGUGGUGGUGCAUGGCCGUUUUUAGUUGGUGGAGCGAUCUGUCUUGGUUAAUUCCGAUAACGAACGAGACCCUGGCCUACUAACUAGACGGCGGAUUCUUUCCCGUCCGCCUCGUCUUCUUAGAGGGACAGGCACGCGCUUAGCUGCACGAAAUGGGGCAAAAACAGGUCUGUGAUGCCCUUAGAUGUUCUGGGCUGCACACGCGCUACACUGACGGAGGCAGCGUGUGUUCCCUGUCCGAAAGGACCGGGUAACCCGCUCAAUCUCCCUCGUGCUAGGGAUUGAGGCUUGCAAUUGUUUCUCAUGAACGAGGAAUUCCCAGUAAGUGCGAGUCAUCACCUCGCGCUGAUUACGUCCCUGCCCUUUGUACACACCGCCCGUCGCUACUACCGAUUGAAUGAUUUAGUGAGGACUUCGGACUGGUGUCCGGGGCGGCUCUCGGGUCGGUCCGGUGCGCCGGAAAGUUGUCCGAACUGUAUCAUUUAGAGGAAGUAAAAGUCGUAACAAGGUUUCC
Molecule: ribosomal RNA, 1779 nt
Filed under: Vestalenula sp. SFH-2011
Lineage: Eukaryota; Metazoa; Arthropoda; Ostracoda; Podocopida; Darwinulidae
Description: SSU rRNA
Rfam family: Eukaryotic small subunit ribosomal RNA
Source: RNAcentral